This 462-nucleotide ribosomal RNA is filed under the name uncultured bacterium. Its description in RNAcentral is "SSU rRNA". It matches the Rfam family "Bacterial small subunit ribosomal RNA", at positions 26 to 518 of the family's 1533-position model. The record is from RNAcentral.
AGAAUCAACGCUGGCGGCGUGCCUAACACAUGCAAGUCGCACGAGAAAGUAGACUUCGGUCUGCGAGUAAAGUGGCGCACGGGUGAGUAACACGUGAAUAAUCUACCUCCGAGUGGGGAAUAACUUCGGGAAACCGAGGCUAAUACCGCAUAACACUUACGAGUCAAAGCAGCAAUGCGCUUGGAGAGGAGUUCGCGGCAGAUUAGUUAGUUGGCGGGGUAAUGGCCCACCAAGACGAUGAUCUGUAUCCGGCCUGAGAGGGCGCACGGACACACUGGAACUGAAACACGGUCCAGACUCCUACGGGAGGCAGCAGUGGGGAAUUUUGCGCAAUGGGGGAAACCCUGACGCAGCAACGCCGCGUGGAGGAAGAAAUAUCUUGGUAUGUAAACUCCUUUCGAUCGGGACGAUAAUGACGGUACCGAGAGAAGAAGCCCCGGCUAACUUCGUGCCAGCAGCCGC